Molecule: ribosomal RNA, 639 nt
Filed under: uncultured Actinomycetes bacterium
Lineage: Bacteria; Bacillati; Actinomycetota; Actinomycetes
Description: bacterial SSU rRNA
Rfam family: Bacterial small subunit ribosomal RNA
Source: RNAcentral
CGCGGCCUAUCAGCUUGUUGGUGAGGUAACGGCUCACCAAGACAUCGACGGGUAGCUGGUCUGAGAGGACGAUCAGCCACACUGGGACUGAGACACGGCCCAGACUCCUACGGGAGGCAGCAGUAGGGAAUCUUGCGCAAUGGGCGAAAGCCUGAUGCAGCAAUGCCGCGUGCGGGAAGAAGGCCCUAGGGUUGUAAACCGCUUUCAGCAGGGAAGAAAAUGACGGUACCUGCAGAAGAAGGUGCGGCCAACUACGUGCCAGCAGCCGCGGUGACACGUAGGCACCAAGCGUUGUCCGGAUUUAUUGGGCGUAAAGAGCUCGUAGGCGGUUCAGUUAGUCGGGUGUGAAAACUCAAGGCUCAACCUUGAGACGCCACUCGAUACUGCUGUGACUUGAGUCCGGUAGAGGAGUGUGGAGUUCCUGGUGUAGCGGUGAAAUGCGCAGAUAUCAGGAGGAACACCAGCGGCGAAGGCGGCACUCUGGGCCGGUACUGACGCUGAGGAGCGAAAGCAUGGGGAGCAAACAGGAUUAGAUACCCUGGUAGUCCAUGUCGUAAACGUUGGGCACUAGGUAUGGGAUCAUAUCAACGGAUUCCGUGCCGUAGCUAACGCAUUAAGUGCCCCGCCUGGGGAGUACGG